GUAGGUGGCAAGCGUUGUCCGGGAAUUAUUGGGGCGUAAAGCGCGCGCAGGCGGUUCUUUAAGUCUGAUGUGAAAGCCCACGGGCUCAACCGUGGGAGGGUCAUUGGAAACUGGAGAACUUGAGUACAGAAGAGGAAAGCGGAAUUCCACGUGUAGCGGUGAAAUGCGUAGAGAUGUGGAGGAACACCAGUGGCGAAGGCGGCUUUCUGGUCUGUAACUGACGCUGAGGCGCGAAAGCGUGGGGAGCAAACAGGAUUAGAUACCCUGGUAGUCCACGCCGUAAACGAUGAGUGCUAAGUGUUAGGGGAUUUCCGCCCCUUAGUGCUGCAGCUAACGCAUUAAGCACUCCGCCUGGGGAGUACGGCCGCAAAGGCUGA
RNAcentral lists this ribosomal RNA (377 nucleotides) under uncultured organism. RNAcentral's name for it is "partial 16S ribosomal RNA". It matches the Rfam family "Bacterial small subunit ribosomal RNA", at positions 527 to 897 of the family's 1533-position model. The record is from RNAcentral.